Molecule: ribosomal RNA, 250 nt
Filed under: uncultured bacterium
Lineage: Bacteria
Description: partial 16S ribosomal RNA
Rfam family: Bacterial small subunit ribosomal RNA
Source: RNAcentral
GGAGGAAUAUUGGUCAAUGGACGCAAGUCUGAACCAGCCAUGUCGCGUGCAGGAAGACGGCCUUAUGGGUUGUAAACUGCUUUUCUAUAGGGAGAAACCCCCUUUCGUGAGAGGGGCUGACGGUACUAUAGGAAUAAACACCGGCUAACUCCGUGCCAGCAGCCGCGGUAAUACGGAGGGUGUAAGCGUUAUCCGGAAUCAUUGGGUUUAAAGGGUCCGUAGGCGGACUGAUAAGUCAGAGGUGAAAUCC